Long non-coding RNA from Nerophis ophidion (straightnose pipefish), 666 nucleotides. RefSeq lists it as uncharacterized. The record is from RefSeq and is a predicted model, not a curated record. NCBI's taxonomy places the organism in Eukaryota, Metazoa, Chordata, Actinopteri, Syngnathiformes, Syngnathidae. The transcript has 2 exons.
CCAGCGCUCAGGAGAAUAUUCCAGAGCGGGACGGCACUUUGGACGCUGAGCCAGACUGACCGCGGGGGAGCACAAUGAAUCUGUGCGGCGCAGUCACAGAGGCAGAAGAUAUACGUCCUGCUUGUAACGUCCCUCUGGAGCAUUGAACAACUCAAUCAGGGCCAGGGCCUAAAGACAACAUGAUCAAACGAGAGCUUUGGCCUCACAAAAGGUUGUCAUUCAGCACCUAAGUAUGUUAUAUAAAGAUGUGUCCCCACUGCAAGUGCAGAACUACUGACCUGAGUUGUAGCAGUGAUGGACAACACAAACGUAGGCACAGUGGAGCAGCUCAGAUUCAGAAGGCGACCCUGAGAGAUAACACAAUUCUCAUACAAACAACCAUCUAGAGAUGUGCAGUAACUACCAUUCAGUUCAUGUAAUGCCUCACCAGGAAGCACAGAAAACAAACUUGAGACAUGAUUUCUACAUGUGCAAGCAGGAAAUUACCUCUGCAAGCAUCACAACUCUCUUUCCAUCAGGCCAGAUGAUGUGGUCCACCUGCGAGCGCACCCUCUCCCAGGUCAGCUCAGGGCUGCGCAGACUUGCCUGAAGAGGACAAGAGUCAAUUCCUACAAUUGUCACAGAAAGUACAGUACAAUAUACACAUUAAACAUUUUACCACAUCAA